This 409-nucleotide long non-coding RNA is filed under the name Populus trichocarpa (black cottonwood). RNAcentral describes it as "long non-coding RNA (PTRI_LNC002973)". The record is from RNAcentral. Lineage: Eukaryota; Viridiplantae; Streptophyta; Magnoliopsida; Malpighiales; Salicaceae.
CACAAUAUCUAUCAAGUUCCCAAUUCCAGACAGUGAGCAACCCUUUGACCACACAGGCAGGAUCAGGUGGCAGGUUAGAGCUUAAUGUAACCACCACAGGUAACUCAGUGAAUAUAACCACAGGACUUACCAAUACAAGCGUAUCUGGCACUAUAUACACUGAUAACCAGCUAGCUGUUUAUCAGGUUGACAAGGUGCUCCUUCCUGUUGAUAUUUUUACACCUAAACCUCCUACUCCAGCACCAGCACCUGAAAAACCAAAGAAAAGGUCUAAAGCUGCAGAGAGUCCAGAUGCUCCUGAGGAUAAUUCUGGAGCAGUAAGCUUAACUGUUCUUAAUGAUGUUGUGUUCUUUGGAGUGGGCAUUGUUGCAGCAAUAUUUUCUUUGUGACACAGUUCAUGAGUUUGUUA